AGUCGUAACAAGGUAUCCGUAGGUGAACCUGCGGAUGGAUCAUUACCAAAGGAAAUAACUUCCUACGCACUGUGAACUGUUUUGACUGACAGUCAGUGACUGUUUGCCCUAUAGCGGAAUUUCCCCUAGGGGACGUUCCCUACUGUAGGGCGGCGUUGCUGACUGUAUCUACUAAACGUACUGUAACUUUUAGACUGAACUACUUUAGUAUGAACUAAAGACAACUUUUAGCAAUGGAUCUCUUGGUUCUC
This 251-nucleotide unclassified non-coding RNA is filed under the name fungal sp. Its description in RNAcentral is "partial internal transcribed spacer region". The stretch from base 1 to 45 matches the Rfam family "Eukaryotic small subunit ribosomal RNA", at positions 1787 to 1831 of the family's 1831-position model. The record is from RNAcentral. Lineage: Eukaryota; Fungi.